RNAcentral lists this ribosomal RNA (396 nucleotides) under uncultured Methanosaeta sp. Its description in RNAcentral is "bacterial SSU rRNA". It matches the Rfam family "Archaeal small subunit ribosomal RNA", at positions 943 to 1338 of the family's 1478-position model. The record is from RNAcentral. Lineage: Archaea; Methanobacteriati; Methanobacteriota; Methanomicrobia; Methanotrichales; Methanotrichaceae.
CAAUAUGAAGGUCAGGCUGAAGACCUUACCCGAUUAGCUGAGAGGUGGUGCAUGGCCGUCGUCAGUUCGUACUGUGAAGCAUCCCGUUAAGUCAGGCAACGAGCGAGACCCACGUCCACAGUUGCCAGCAUACCCUCCGGGGUGAUGGGUACACUGUGGAGACCGCCGCUGCUAAAGCGGAGGAAGGAGUGGGCAACGGUAGGUCAGUAUGCCCCGAAUCUCCCGGGCUACACGCGGGCUACAAUGGUUGGUACAAUGGGCAUCUACCCCGAAAGGGGAAGGAAAUCUCUUAAAGCCAAUCGUAGUUCGGAUUGAGGGCUGCAACUCGCCCUCAUGAAGCUGGAAUCCGUAGUAAUCGCGUUUCAACAGAACGCGGUGAAUACGUCCCUGCUCCUU